Molecule: long non-coding RNA, 1407 nt
Filed under: Homo sapiens (human)
Lineage: Eukaryota; Metazoa; Chordata; Mammalia; Primates; Hominidae
Description: uncharacterized LOC127814295, transcript variant 12 (LOC127814295)
Source: RNAcentral
AUCUCUGCGUGACUUCCGCCAGCGUUUAGAGCGUUUUCGGGGUCCGAGUUGAAGAGCAAAACCAAGUGAAGGAAACUUCACUAAGUUCAGGGUGACAAGGGAGGAAGUACAGAGUGAACUAUUGGCAUGGCUCAAUCCAUUGACCUGUUUUGGUUCCUGAUGAAGUUUUGUUAAUUUAAAUGAGAAAAAUAAGGACAGUGAAAAACAGAGCGCUUAAAAAGCACUGUCUGGAUAUCUUCAGAGGGAAAAAGGAGAAAGUUAACUGAAUUGGUGACACUUCGGGUCUCUCACAGAGGAAGAGACCACCAAACCAACAGAAGCCACCAGGACAGCACACAGCCAUUCCAAAAUUCCAGACCAGGAUCAUUCCAGAAAAGCCUUACAUCUCAGUCCAGUAUAUGGAUGGUUUUGUAAGAUGACCUAUGAUUUUUCUGUUCCUCCUUCCUGCCCCUAACUUCAGAGAAACAGACCUAGAAAGAGGGAAGGAAGGAGUGAAAAAGCGUGCCAUACUUUAUCUUCUCCCCUUCUGUUUUAAACUAGACAAAUCUAUAUUUUAAUUAUUAUAAGUAACCAGAAAGUUAUAUGGUCUGGCCAGGAUGGCAUUAAAGAAAAUGAGAGAGAAAAGUUUAAGAUAGCAUGGUUGGAGACAAUAAGUAGAAGAAACCAAGUAGUUCAAGUUUUAUAACGCUCUAUCUUAUAAACACUCUUGAACCAAUAAUAAUGCUAUUACUGAAAUGCUACACACAAUUGAAGACUACUUGUUAGACCAAGACCUUAAAAACUUCUUUACUGAUUAUUCCCAAUGUGUGGCCCUGGUAAUCAUUGAAGAAUCAUUGUAUUGACUAUUAAACAUCUAGGGAUCACCUGUUUAAAUCAAGUUAACAAAACACUUACUUAACAAAUAUAUAUUGAUUGCCUAUUAUGAAGUAGAUGCUAUAGUAGGUGCUGGCAGUAUAAACAUGAAAAGAGACAUUGUGUGUGCAUAUUAAUAUACAGCAAAUUAAACUUCAGCCAGAGAAGUACUUUACUAGAAGGUUGAUAGAAGUGUGGUGGUAGCUUGCAGGAGGAAGCAGUUAGCCUCCUUGGAAAUGAGUAAUCUUCACAGAAAGUAUGACAUUUGACCUGCUUCUUGGAGAAGAUGCAUAUUAAACCUAUUAAAUCCAUGUCAGCCUUUAACACCUUUGCUCAGAUUAGUUUCUCGAGCUGUUUUCCCACCUGGUGAGCAGAUAAGAGCAGGACAGGAAAGUUCUGAUGAAAGGAAGAAGUGCCAGAGAGAGAAGGCCUUGCAAGCAAAGAAGCCUGACAGGCAGGAGCCCCUGAGUAUCCUAAGGAGAAGUACCAGCGAUUUAGGGAAGAAAAUUGCUGCCAGAAGUGCAGGAAAUAAAAAUUCUGACCUAGAUCAUUUUA